AGUGAACGCUGGCGGUAGGCCUAACACAUGCAAGUCGAACGGCAGCACAGUAAGAGCUUGCUCUUACGGGAGGCGAGUGGCGGAGGGGUGAGGAAUACAUCGGAAUCUACUUUUUCGUGGGGGAUAACGUAGGGAAACUUACGCUAAUACCGCAUACGACCUACGGGUGAAAGCAGGGGAUCUUCGGACCUUGCGCGAUUGAAUGAGCCGAUGUCGGAUUAGCUAGUUGGCGGGGUAAAGGCCCACCAAGGCGACGAUCCGUAGCUGGUCUGAGAGGAUGAUCAGCCACACUGGAACUGAGACACGGUCCAGACUCCUACGGGAGGCAGCAGUGGGGAAUAUUGGACAAUGGGCGCAAGCCUGAUCCAGCCAUACCGCGUGGGUGAAGAAGGCCUUCGGGUUGUAAAGCCCUUUUGUUGGGAAAGAAAAGCAGCAGGUUAAUACCCCGCUGUUCUGACGGUACCCAAAGAAUAAGCACCGGCUAACUUCGUG
This 492-nucleotide ribosomal RNA is filed under the name uncultured bacterium. Its description in RNAcentral is "partial 16S ribosomal RNA". It matches the Rfam family "Bacterial small subunit ribosomal RNA", at positions 29 to 507 of the family's 1533-position model. The record is from RNAcentral.